GGGGAAGUAUGCCAAGGAACUGAAGAGCGUCUAUCAAGAAGAAGCCCCAGCUGUUAUGUGGGCCCUAGUGGAGAGUGGCUGGGGGUUGCCUGAGGCCAUGCUGGGUUGGGUAAACUUGGUAUGUUCACUUCCAUCCAAGAGACCUUUCACCUUGAGGGCUCAAUGAUUAGAAAAACAUCACAGAAGCCAAUGAUUUCUCAUUCUCCAGGGAGCCAGGAAGCAUUUUCUGGGCUAGAUAUCAGGACAAACCCAUGAACUGUGAGAGGUCCUCUUUGCUGAGAGCUCUAUCUGAUCCCAGGAAAUGGAGUGCUGGUUCCAUGUGCUAGAAGACACAACUUCCUGCCAGAAAGAGGAUCUGCGUCUCAUCUCCAUGUGCGCCAGUGUUCAGAUACGGCUGUCCGGGCUUUCAUGGAUGAGUCAUGGCAAUGGCCAAGCCUCAGCUGCAAGUUGCGGUAUACGUGGUGGACUGGAGUUCCAACAACCAGACCUUUGGGGCUGGGGUAAGUUUUUCCUCCUAACUCCUCUGUGUGGGGAACUGAGACAUUUGGCUUCCUGUUAGGAAGUUAAAGCUUGUGGCUGUAGAAGAAGGCCUGACUCUUGGGGAAGCUGCAGAAGUCUUAGAGCUCUGAACAUAGGGCUUUGGACAUGGAGAUUCUUACAUAUGUUCAACAAGUAUCCUUUGUGCCAGGCUCUGUUCUACAUGCUGGCAACAUAGCCUUGAACAAAAGUCACAGAAAUCCCUGCUUUCUUGGAGUUUUCAUGCCACCAGGGGAGACAGACAAUAGACAAUAAGAGUACGUGAAAUACAACAUACAAUAUGCUAAUUACAAGUGAUAAAGAGAAAAAUAAAGCAGGGAAGCGGACUAGCAAAUACUGGGGAACAGAUGUUGUGAUUUCAGAUAAGGUGGCUAAGGAAGGCCUUGACAAGGAAGUAACAUUUGAGUAAAGACCAGAAGCACAAGAGAAGGUGAACAGUGUAGACAUCCGGAGCAAAAGCAUUCUAAGCAGAAGAAUAACUGUAAAGGCCGUUGUUGUGGGUUGAAUUAUUUCCCAUCGCCAAAAGAUAUGUUGAAGUCCUAAGCCCUGGUACAUGUGAAAUGUGACCUUAUUUGAAGACAGGAUCUUUACAGAUCAAGUUAAGAUGAGGUCACUAGGGUGGGCCCUAAUCCAAUAUGACUGGUGUUUUAUGAGAGGACACAGAGACAGAGAGACACAGGGAAAGUGCUGUGGGAUGACAAAAGAGAGAUUUAAGUGAUACAACUGCAAGCCAAGGAAUGCCUAGAGUUGACAGCCACAGCCAGAAUCUCAGAAGAGGCAGGCAAGAGUUCUCUCCUACAGGUUUUAGUGGGAGCAUGGCCCUGGUUAACACCUUGAUUUUGGACUUCUCACCUCCGGAACUGUGAGACAAUAAAUUUCUGUUGUUUUGAGCCACCUAGUUUGUGGUACUUUGCAACGGCAGCCCUAGAAAACUAAUCCAGCCAUGAAAUGGGAAUGUGCCUGGUAUGUUGAAGGAAGAUGGAGGCCAGUGUCGCAUGGGAGGGAGUCAUAAGAGAUUAGAUCAGAGAAGUUACACAACAGAUGGCGAGAUCAUGUGGCACCUUAUGGUCAGAGAUGUGACAUGAUCUGACUUACCCUUUAACGGGCUCACCUAUAGUUAUAACUGUGUGUUAUAUUCAUGGCUGAAGGGAGAUGUAUAGAAGAACCCAGACUAUAUUACGUACACUAGAUAAUCAUAAGAGGUAGGUACCAAAUUGCAUAAAUACUAAAAUCACUGUGCUUAUAAUUAAAUCUUUCAUUUGCUCUUUAGGUAUAUUUUAAUCUGUAAUGUUAAUGUGAAACUAAUUUUUAAAA
Long non-coding RNA from Rhinopithecus bieti (black snub-nosed monkey), 1851 nucleotides. The record is from Ensembl. NCBI's taxonomy places the organism in Eukaryota, Metazoa, Chordata, Mammalia, Primates, Cercopithecidae.